This 421-nucleotide ribosomal RNA is filed under the name Clostridioides difficile. RNAcentral describes it as "bacterial LSU rRNA". It matches the Rfam family "Bacterial large subunit ribosomal RNA", at positions 540 to 961 of the family's 2925-position model. The record is from RNAcentral. Lineage: Bacteria; Bacillati; Bacillota; Clostridia; Peptostreptococcales; Peptostreptococcaceae.
GAAAUAGAACCUGAAACCCUGCACUUACAAGCUGUGGAAGCACAUUGCUUGUGUGCCCACGGACUUUGUGUAGACAGGGCCGACGAGUUACGGGAAGUAGCAAGGUUAAGCGCUUAAGGUGGUGAGCCGUAGCGAAAGCGAGUUUUAACUGAGCGUUCAGUUACUGGACGUAGACCCGAAACCGGGCGACCUACCCAUGGGCAGGAUGAAGCGAAAGUAAAAUUUCGGGGAGGUCCGAACCCACGAGCGUUGAAAAGCUCGGGGAUGACUUGUGGGUAGCGGUGAAAUUCCAAUCGAGCCCGGAGAUAGCUGGUUCUCCCCGAAAUAGCUUUAGGGCUAGCCUCAAGGUGAGAGAUACGGAGGUAGAGCACUGAAUGUCCUAGGGGGUAUUGCACCUACCGAAGACUAUCAAACUCCGAAU